UACGAAGGGGGCUAGCGUUGUUCGGAAUCACUGGGCGUAAAGGGCGCGUAGGCGGCGCGACAAGUCAGGCGUGAAAGCCCCGGGCUCAACCCGGGAAUUGCGCUUGAUACUGUCGUGCUUGAGGCCGGGAGAGGAUGGCGGAAUUCCCAGUGUAGAGGUGAAAUUCGUAGAUAUUCGGAAGAACACCAGUGGCGAAGGCGGCUCACUGGCCCGGUUCUGACGCUGAGGUGCGAAAGCGUGGGGAGCAAACGGG
This 253-nucleotide ribosomal RNA is filed under the name uncultured bacterium. Its description in RNAcentral is "partial 16S ribosomal RNA". It matches the Rfam family "Bacterial small subunit ribosomal RNA", at positions 524 to 776 of the family's 1533-position model. The record is from RNAcentral.